ACGCUUCCGGGAGGUCUAGGCGGCUGCCGUGAGCCGGUCCGAAACGGCUCUAGGUGCACUGUCCGGCUCCAGCCAGGUCCGCUACGCCUGGAGAGCAUGGAGGCAAGUUCUGCCGGCUCCACCUGCAAAGCAGAGCCCCUUUCCACGACUGUGCAGCACCGCUCGCUCCAGCCCCACCAUACCCGCCUGGACGGAGACCGACCGCAGCCUGGGAGAGCCUCCAAGCCUGGAGGCGGGCGCGCGAGCCCUUUCCAAGGAGAACCCACAGCGGCUUCCCCUCUUGCUCCAGGGGCCUCUAGAUCCCACCCCACCUGGCACCUGCGUCUCUCCCAGAACUCGGCCUGCCCCUACCUUCCCGCCAGCCCCCACCCUGCUGGGGCUACUGGGACCUCCUAGCGGCAUGCAGCGUUCAGGCUCAACCCCCGCUGUGCUCUGCGGUCGCAGCUGCAGCCGCUUCGGUGCUCCAAGACCAGAGAGGAAGCAAAGACAGAGCUUUCCCAGCCAGGCAUCGCUGCUUUGGCCUUGAAGGUCAGCGUGUGGCUACCUGGACCAAUUCUGUCUGAUGGGGUGUGCAGUAGUGUCAUGAACUACUUCUAUCCCAGGAAGUAACUUGUAAAUGAGUGGAUGAGCCAAUUCUCCUUCUUUCUCUUCCUGCUGGCUGAAGUGUGGACAUGAUGGCAGGAGCUGCAGCAGUCACAUUGGACCAUGGGUCAUCGUGGGAAUGGAAGUCACACAAGGGUAUUUAAAGCCACACAAGGAUAAUGAGCACUGGAUAGAUGGAGCCCGAGUCCCCAUCACAGUGUAGCCCCUGUAACAGAUCUAGACUUCCUGCCUCCCACAUUGAGUAAACUGCUCUCUUGCUUAAGCCACUAUUAUGUUAGGAUUUUUUCAACCCAUAGUCAGAGAUAGUCCUAACUGAUUCACCACCCUCAGAGAGUUUACAGCCAAUUAUGUUUCUCAUGAAAAAGGUUAGCCAGUGGUUGUAAGUGAUCCCGGACUGGAGCGCCAGCUGCACUCUGGCAUGUUACCACAAGUACAGUGGUAACUAAGCAGGUCGGCAUAGGUGCCCACAGAGCAGACUGAACACCCCGUUUGCUUCCCUCUCCUCUCCGAACUCCCUGGACAUGGCCAAGUAGCAUAAGCCAAGCAGAGGUGAGAAGGAGAGUGGGGCACAGGCAAGUUACCAGUGGGCCCGCGGCUAUCAUGGACUUCCAGAAAAUAAAAAACAGGCAUGAUGGUGUUGGUUUAUAAACCAAAGCAGAGGGCACUGGAGCCCCGUAAGUGUGCAGGAGUGAAUGUAUGUGGCAGGGAGAAGGGUAGAAGGGAGGAGGUUGGGUAGAAGGCUACCUCUACCAGCUGGAAAUGAGUGGUGAAGUCAGCUGGACUUCUGGGUGGGGCGGGGACUUGGAGAACUUUUCUGUCUUACAAAGGGAUUGUAAAAUGCACAAAUCAGCACUCUGUAGAUAGGAUUGUAAAACGCACCAAUCAGCUCUCUGUGGCUAGCUAGAGGUUUCUAAAAUGGACCAAUCAGUGCUUUGUAAAGUGGACCAAUCAGAACACUGUAAAAUGGACCAAUUAGUGCUCUGUAAAAUGGACCAAUCAGACCAAUCAGCACUCUGUAAAAUGGACCAAUCAGCAGGACAUGGGUGGGGACAAAUAAGGGAAUAAAAGCUGGCCACCCUCCAGUCAGCAGCAGGCAACCCACUGGGUCCCCAUCCCUGUUGUGGUGUAUUUGUUAUUUUGCUCUUGGCAAUAAAUCUUGCUGCUGCUCAUGACAAAGAAGACAAGGAAGACAAGGAAGGUGAUCCGGGAGGCUGGAGAGCUUGUCAAGGUCACAGACCCACGGUUUUCCGCCCCCUAGGGUCCAAGCUCUUUCCUGGACAUCUGCAG
Molecule: long non-coding RNA, 1890 nt
Filed under: Homo sapiens (human)
Lineage: Eukaryota; Metazoa; Chordata; Mammalia; Primates; Hominidae
Description: long non-coding RNA NONHSAT170600.1
Source: RNAcentral